CCGACCUUAGCUCAGUUGGUAGAGCGGAGGACUGUAGUUUGCUCAGUGAUCCUUAGGUCGCUGGUUCGAAUCCGGCAGGUCGGA
Molecule: transfer RNA, 84 nt
Filed under: Cucumis sativus (cucumber)
Lineage: Eukaryota; Viridiplantae; Streptophyta; Magnoliopsida; Cucurbitales; Cucurbitaceae
Description: tRNA tRNA-Tyr
Rfam family: tRNA
About the family: Transfer RNA (tRNA) molecules are approximately 80 nucleotides in length. Their secondary structure includes four short double-helical elements and three loops (D, anti-codon, and T loops).
Source: Rfam by way of RNAcentral